CUUAACCCACUGAGCCACCCAGGCACCCCCUGAAUGAUUUUCUCAUGGCUGUUAAUUUGGAACGGUCCCUGGGUACAAGGAGACAAGCGUCCUCCCCAGUCAGGAAGGCCCAGGGUCUCUACCCAUCCCCUGUGGCUCCUCUUCCCCAGAAAUGGCUGGGUCUCCACCGAGGGCGUGGCUGGUGGCAACUCAGGAGGGC
Molecule: long non-coding RNA, 199 nt
Organism: Lutra lutra (Eurasian river otter)
Lineage: Eukaryota; Metazoa; Chordata; Mammalia; Carnivora; Mustelidae
Exons: 3
Source: RefSeq, a predicted model, not a curated record